RNAcentral lists this ribosomal RNA (468 nucleotides) under uncultured bacterium. Its description in RNAcentral is "partial 16S ribosomal RNA". It matches the Rfam family "Bacterial small subunit ribosomal RNA", at positions 28 to 507 of the family's 1533-position model. The record is from RNAcentral.
GACGAACGCUGGCGGCGUGCUUAACACAUGCAAGUCGAACGGAAAGGCCCUGCUUUUGUGGGGUGCUCGAGUGGCGAACGGGUGAGUAACACGUGAGUAACCUGCCCUUGACUUUGGGAUAACUUCAGGAAACUGGGGCUAAUACCGGAUAGGAGCUCCUGCUGCAUGGUGGGGGUUGGAAAGUUUCGGCGGUUGGGGAUGGACUCGCGGCUUAUCAGCUUGUUGGUGGGGUAGUGGCUUACCAAGGCUUUGACGGGUAGCCGGCCUGAGAGGGUGACCGGCCACAUUGGGACUGAGAGACGGCCCAGAAUCCUACGGGAGGCAGCAGUGGGGAAUAUUGCACAAUGGGCAGAAGCCUGAUGCAGCAACGCCGCGUGCGGGAUGACGGCCUUCGGGUUGUAAACAGCUGUCGCCUGUGACGAAGCGUGAGUGACGGUAAUGGGUAAAGAAGCACCGGCUAACUACGUG